RNAcentral lists this ribosomal RNA (482 nucleotides) under uncultured bacterium. Its description in RNAcentral is "partial 16S ribosomal RNA". It matches the Rfam family "Bacterial small subunit ribosomal RNA", at positions 28 to 523 of the family's 1533-position model. The record is from RNAcentral.
AGUGAACGUUGGCGGCGUGGAUUAGGCAUGCAAGUCGAGCGAGAACCGUAGCAAUACGGGGACAGCGGCGAAAGGGACAGUAAUGUGUAGGUACCUACCCCGAGGUCUGGGAUAGCAGCGGGAAACUGCAGGUAAUACCGGAUAAUGUCUUCGGACCAAAGGUGUGAUUCCACCUUGGGAGGGGCCUGCAUCCUAUUAGCUAGUUGGCGGGGUAAUGGCCCACCAAGGCGACGAUGGGUAGCGGGUGUGAGAGCACGACCCGCGUCAUUGGGGCUGAGACACUGCCCAGACACCUACGGGUGGCUGCAGUCGAGGAUCUUCGGCAAUGGGCGAAAGCCUGACCGAGCGACGCCGCGUGCGGGAUGAAGGCCUUCGGGUUGUAAACCGCUGUCGUAGAGGAGGAAAUGCAGGUGGGUUCUCCCAUCUGUUUGACCUAUUCUAGGAGGAAGUACGGGCUAAGUUCGUGCCAGCCGCCGCAGUAA